GGACUACUAGGGUAUCUAAUCCCAUUCGCUCCCCACGCUUUCGUCCUAGCAGUGUCAGGUGACACCCAGAAGCCUGCCUUCGCUAUUGGUGUUCCGAACGAUAUCAACGCAUUUCACUACUACACCGUUCGUUCCGGCUUCCUCUUUGUCCCUCGAGCUUAGAAGUUUCAAAAGACAGUCUCCCAGUUAAGCUGAGAGAUUUCACUUCUGACUUUCUAAACCACCGAUCGGUACGCUUUACGCCCAAUGAUUCCGGAUAACGCUUGAGGUCUCUGUAUUACCGCGGCUGCUGGCAC
RNAcentral lists this ribosomal RNA (296 nucleotides) under uncultured bacterium. RNAcentral describes it as "partial 16S ribosomal RNA". The record is from RNAcentral.